Molecule: long non-coding RNA, 1483 nt
Organism: Sceloporus undulatus (fence lizard)
Lineage: Eukaryota; Metazoa; Chordata; Lepidosauria; Squamata; Phrynosomatidae
Exons: 2
Source: RefSeq, a predicted model, not a curated record
CAUUUCGCCCAGGACCCCUUCCAGGUUGGAAUGAGCCCAUGUAAAUGACUUGUAUUUGUACAGUGUGCCCCGGCAUAUGUGGACAUCUUUUAUGUGGCUUUCAGCUUACGCUGAAAGCCGGACGACGGGAAUGGGGUGUGCGCCAUGCCACGCGUCAUGCACGAGCCCCAUUAUUUUCAAUGGGGCUCAAGCAUACAUGCUAUUUGCCUUACGCGGGGGGGUCUGGAACGGAUCCCCCGCAUAAGGCAAGGGCGCACUGUAAUCAGUUAAUUAAAAUGACUUAUAUUUGCAAUUAAUGCUUUCAUUAUCUUGAUUUUCAUGAACUGUAGUGGGUGCUUUGCCUUUAACUGGAAUUCAGAGGUGAAGCUGAAAUGCAGAAAUCUUUUUUUCAUAGGGAUACAUACAGUGACAGAAGUGGAAGUAGCUCUCCAGACUCUGAGAUAACAGAAUUGAAAUUUACUGCAGUGAAUCCUGAGUAAUUGCUGAUAUGCCUCCUGAGAUUCUUCAUUGGAUGCAACAGCUGGACAGCUGGAGUCUUUUAAAUCAUACCAUUAUAAUUGUACUUUGAGAAAUCAUGUCACUCUUAGGUUUUUCUUUUGCAUUUAUUUUCUAGAGUUGUAUUUUGAGAAGAUGCAACUAGUGCCUGCUCAUGUGCAGCUGUAAGAUUACAAGGAAUAAUGUCAUAAACUGAGCAAGGACUGUGUUUCUGAAGAGACUUGGCAUGUCAUUAUAGUCAUGAAUGUUGCCAAGCAAUUCACUUUCUGUGAACUUCCAUUGUGGGAGGUUUAAAUUAUACUAUUUGCCCUCUUAAUGGGUUGUGGAGUGGAAGCUCCUCAAGGCAGAAUAAUUUAAUUUUUACAGGUAUUCUUUUUUAAAAAAGAUAAUGGAUUUAUUGCUACAAGGCCACUGCGGAACACCUUUUCCAGGAAUAUAUUUUUUCUGCUCAUGAAACUAAGCUAUUUAGUUUAUCCCUAUCCUAAAGAAAAGUGAUUAUGUUACAAUUACACAAUUAAAAGGUGACUAUAAAUAAUUUUCAGUAUUUUAGAGGCACAAGUGGAGGUGUAUUUUGCUUUCCUCCUGCUUCCCGGACUCAUAGGACUCCUUGUAUCAAGGGGGGCGCGUAUGCAAGAAAAUGACUUUUCAGAAGCUGCCUUUUGGAACUCACUGAGAUAGCUGCCUUGGAUUAAAAAGCCUGAAGUCCUUCUUGUAAGGGAGGCCCGCCUGAUCUCCCUCGCCCCAUUGCUGAGAAGAUGUCAUCCAUGUUGACAUACGAGAUGCCCUAUGGGGAAUUCAGCACUAUUUUUACUGCAGCCUGUCGAUAAUUGAAAGGCCGACAGCAGUCUUCUACAAACAUAGGGGCUCUUCCCUUUCGCCAGUGUAGAUUGUAUGCUGUGUUUCAAGCAAAUAGGAGAAACAGUCUAUUCUUAUGAAAUAUGCCCUGUGUCCAAACACUUUUCAUUUCAUUAAAACUUGGGGAAAGUAA